This 484-nucleotide ribosomal RNA is filed under the name uncultured bacterium. RNAcentral's name for it is "partial 16S ribosomal RNA". It matches the Rfam family "Bacterial small subunit ribosomal RNA", at positions 30 to 507 of the family's 1533-position model. The record is from RNAcentral.
AUUGAACGCUGGCGGCAGGCCUAACACAUGCAAGUCGAGCGGAUGAAGGGAGCUUGCUCCUGGAUUCAGCGGCGGACGGGCGAGUAAGUCGUAGGAAUCUGCCUGGUAGUGGGGGCUAACGUCCGGAAACGGGCGCUAAUACCGCAUACGUCCUGAGGUAGAAAGUGGGGGAUCUUCGGACCUCACGCUAUCUGAUGAGCCUAGGUCGGAUUAGCUAGUUGGUGGGGUAAAGGCCUACCAAGGCGACGAUCCGUAACUGGUCUGAGAGGAUGAUCAGUCACACUGGAACUGAGACACGGUCCAGACUCCUACGGGAGGCAGCAGUGGGGAAUAUUGGACAAUGGGCGAAAGCCUGAUGCAGCCACGCCGCGUGUGUGAAGAAGGUCUUCGGAUUGUAAAGCACUGUAAGUUGGGAGGAAGGGAAGUAAGUGAAUACAUGGCUGUUUUGACGUUACCAACAGAAUAAGCACCGGCUAACUACGUG